GACCCCAGGUCAGGCGRGGCCACCCHCCGAGCUUAAGCAUAUCAAUAAGCGGAGGAGAGGAAACUUACGAGGAUUCCCCUAGUAACGGCGAGCGAACCGGGACCAGCCCAGCU
This 113-nucleotide ribosomal RNA is filed under the name Balaka seemannii. RNAcentral describes it as "partial 26S ribosomal RNA". It matches the Rfam family "Eukaryotic large subunit ribosomal RNA", at positions 1 to 114 of the family's 3401-position model. The record is from RNAcentral. Lineage: Eukaryota; Viridiplantae; Streptophyta; Magnoliopsida; Arecales; Arecaceae.